RNAcentral lists this long non-coding RNA (698 nucleotides) under Bos taurus (domestic cattle). RNAcentral's name for it is "long non-coding RNA NONBTAT024320". Lineage: Eukaryota; Metazoa; Chordata; Mammalia; Artiodactyla; Bovidae. The record is from RNAcentral.
UGCCUCCUUCAAGUAUCUCCCUAUCCUGCAGAGAAUGUUCUGCCUCUCCUUCCUCCCAUAUUCUCCCUUCCAAUAAGAUCACCAAUUUUACUUUUUAAAAAAGGGAGCUACGCACUAACCUUUUCUGAGCACCACCACCACACUGCCUUGCAUAAUGAGCACUUAUUUUCACCUGCAGUCUACCACUCACCAGAAUCACUGUGAGAACCAGUUAUUUUUAUGUGCUUCUGUUUUUUCCCUCUGUGUUUUACAUCUGAUUGCUCUGCUGUUUGACAAAGAAUUUUACCACCCGGUAGAUGCAGCAUCUGGGGAAGCUCCUGUUCCUGUGGGGUGAUGUCUCUGCUUCUGGGCAUAAGGUGAGGAGGCAUCUGGCGACCUCCCUGCUUGUGCUGCCUGGUACCCUGAGGCUCUGGAGAAAUUACUGUGCGAUUGUUCACCUUGGCUCAGCUUGAGAGCUACUGUGACAGAUUUAUUGGCUCUGAAACAUUUAUCCAAGCAGAACCUCUAAACCAAUAUACGUUUGCACUCACACACACUCUAGGGAGAGGGGGAGGAGAAGUCUAAGGAGUGGAACUCUGCAGAGAUGUAAGUCCACCCCUCACUUCACUCUUGCAAAUUUGAGAAAUGAAAUGCAUCAUUUCUUCCAACCUCAGGUGUGUUUCUUUUUUUAACCAGUUUUUCUCAGUCAGUUGGUACAG